Molecule: ribosomal RNA, 497 nt
Filed under: uncultured bacterium
Lineage: Bacteria
Description: partial 16S ribosomal RNA
Rfam family: Bacterial small subunit ribosomal RNA
Source: RNAcentral
GAUGAACGCUGGCGGCGUGCCUAAUACAUGCAAGUCGAGCGAACGGACGAGAAGCUUGCUUCUCUGAUGUUAGCGGCGGAUGGGUGAGUAACACGUGGAUAACCUACCUAUAAGACUGGGAUAACUUCGGGAAACCGGAGCUAAUACCGGAUGAUAUUUUGAACCGCACGGUUCAAAAGUGAAAGACGGUCUUGCUGUCUCUUAUAGAUGGAUCCGCGCUGCAUUAGCUAGUUGGUAAGGUAACGGCUUACCAAGGCAACGAUGCAUAGCCGACCUGAGAGGGUGAUCCACCACACUGCAACUGAGACACGGUACGGGCUCCUACCGUAGGCAGCAGUAAGGAGUCUGCCACAAUGGGAGAAAUGCUAACGGAACAACGCCGAGUGGGAAAUUAAGGUCUUAGGAUCGUAUAGCUCUGUAAUUAGCGAAGAACAUUUGUGUAAGUAACUGUGCGCUUCUUGACGGUGCCUAAUCAGAUAGCCACGGCUAACUACGUG